CGCACAUUGCGCCCCCUGGCAUUCCGGGGGGCAUGCCUGUUCGAGCGUCGUCGCACAGACAAGCCUCGGCUUGGUGUUGGGGAGCGUCGGUGACGCCCCCGAAAGGCAGCGGUGGCACGAGCUGACUUCCGACGUAGCAGACUAUGGGAGAAGCCGCGAGUCCACCCACCAAUCCACCUCCGACCUCGGAUCAGGUAGGGAUACCCGCUGAACUUAA
RNAcentral lists this unclassified non-coding RNA (217 nucleotides) under Acanthothecis peplophora. RNAcentral describes it as "partial contains 5.8S ribosomal RNA, internal transcribed spacer 2, and large subunit ribosomal RNA". Lineage: Eukaryota; Fungi; Ascomycota; Lecanoromycetes; Ostropales; Graphidaceae. The record is from RNAcentral.